UUUUCCUCUGGUCUGGAUUCAGCUCCUAACCAUGACCCAUGUGGGUGACCUGCUGCUUCUGUGCCAUGGGGGAGGACCUCUGUGCUGACGUUGAGUGACGGAUGAAGUGAAUCAUCCUGCCUGCUGGGGGCGCUGCCGUCCGUGACCCGAGGCUAAGAUCUGGCAACCCACUGCUCCAGUUUCCACCAGGCCUGGAAGGAGGAAAAAUGUGACCACCUUAAACAUCUGGAGUGGAGGUCUUUCAGCGCUGAUUCUGCCGAGUCCUUUGGCUGUGGUUUCACUAGAUGGUGGAUAGGGACAGUGUGGGAGGGGCCAAAUGCAUUUCUUCAGAAUUUCACUGAUUUGUAUAAAAGCCUAAAGUUUUUUAAGUGUUGUGGAAUAUGUUUCUGUAAUAAACGACAUUACCCACAAAGCUUUUUUCCCUAAUUUUGUUUUUUUAAAUGAACUUGUCAACCUUUGCACUUGUUUCAGAGAACACUUUUUAAUUAUCAGUUAUUAGUUAUACUGUACACACACAGUAAAUUACAUCUGCUUUGUUCUGAUGGCUGACAAAAUCAUUAAAAUGGUUUUAUAUUUUUAAUCACAUUUCUGAUGAACCUCAAACAUUUUUUUCUUUAGAAUUAGUUUUUGAGUUAAAUUUAGUUUGUUAUACCGUUUCAAAUACACAGUAAAGCCAGG
This 678-nucleotide long non-coding RNA is filed under the name Gouania willdenowi (blunt-snouted clingfish). RNAcentral's name for it is "lncRNA (ENSGWIG00000017392.1)". The record is from RNAcentral. Lineage: Eukaryota; Metazoa; Chordata; Actinopteri; Blenniiformes; Gobiesocidae.